This 77-nucleotide transfer RNA is filed under the name Stutzerimonas stutzeri. RNAcentral's name for it is "Pseudomonas stutzeri tRNA-Pro". It matches the Rfam family "tRNA". Rfam says of the family: Transfer RNA (tRNA) molecules are approximately 80 nucleotides in length. Their secondary structure includes four short double-helical elements and three loops (D, anti-codon, and T loops). The record is from RNAcentral. RNAcentral also lists the same sequence under 96 other names. Lineage: Bacteria; Pseudomonadati; Pseudomonadota; Gammaproteobacteria; Pseudomonadales; Pseudomonadaceae.
CGGAGUGUGGCUCAGCCUGGUAGAGCACCUCGUUCGGGACGAGGGGGUCGCAGGUUCAAAUCCUGCCACUCCGACCA